Molecule: ribosomal RNA, 658 nt
Filed under: uncultured bacterium
Lineage: Bacteria
Description: bacterial SSU rRNA
Rfam family: Bacterial small subunit ribosomal RNA
Source: RNAcentral
GUCGAACGGUCACCCUCGGGUGAUAGUGGCGGACGGGUGAGUAACGCGUGAGAAUCUAACUUCAGGACGGGGAUAACGACGGGAAACGGUCGCUAAUCCCGGAUGUGCCGAAAGGUGAAAGGUUUACCGCCUGGAGAAGAGCUCGCGUCUGAUUAGCUAGUUGGUGGGGUAAGAGCCUACCAAGGCGACGAUCAGUAGCUGGUCUGAGAGGAUGAGCAGCCACACUGGGACUGAGACACGGCCCAGACUCCUACGGGAGGCAGCAGUGGGGAAUUUUCCGCAAUGGGCGAAAGCCUGACGGAGCAAUACCGCGUGAGGGAAGAAGGCUCUUGGGUUGUAAACCUCUUUUCUCUGGGAAGAAGACCUGACGGUACCAGAGGAACAAGCAUCGGCUAACUCCGUGCCAGCAGCCGCGGUAAUACGGAGGAUGCAAGCGUUGUCCGGAAUUAUUGGGCGUAAAGCGUCCGCAGGUGGUUAUACAAGUCUGCCGUUAAAGACAGUAGCUUAACUACUGAAAGGCGGUGGAAACUGUAAGACUAGAGUACGGUAGGGGUAGAGGGAAUUCCCAGUGUAGCGGUGAAAUGCGUAGAGAUUGGGAAGAACACCAGUGGCGAAAGCGCUCUACUGGGCCUGUACUGACACUAUUGGACGAAAGCUA